Equus caballus (horse) is the source of this 4394-nucleotide long non-coding RNA. NCBI's taxonomy places the organism in Eukaryota, Metazoa, Chordata, Mammalia, Perissodactyla, Equidae. The record is from Ensembl.
CUUAAAUUCGCCACCUGUGGUGAAUUCUGUUCUAGAGAAAUGCUUUUAUUUAUUUAUUUAUUUAUUUGAGGAAGGUUAGGCCUGAGCUAACUGCCGCCAAUCCUCCUCUUUUUGCUGAGGAAGGCUGGCCCUGAGCUAACAUCCGUGCCCAUCUUCCUCUACUUUAUACAUGGGAUGCCUACCACAGCACGGCGUGCCAGUCAGUGCCAUGUUCGCACCGGGAUCUGAACCGGCAAACCCCAGGCCACCGAGAAGCGGAACGUGCGAACUUAACUGCUGUGCCACCGGGCAGCCCCCGAGAAAUGCUUUUAAACUUGAACUUGCAUAGGAAUCACGGGGGCUUGUGAACACAUAGAUGGCUGGGCUCACCCCCAGAAUUUCUGAUUCAGCAGGGCUGGGAGAGGGCCUGAGAAUUUGCAUUUUAACCAGCUCCCAGGUGAAGCUGAUGUGGCCGGUCCAGAGAUCACACUUGAAAAUUCGAGAGCAGUGAAUUAUCCCCAAUUUACUGCAGUCUAUUUCCUGCUCCCUGUCUUUUUCUGGACAGGUCAGGGUUCACCCAGCCUCACUGCUCCUCUUCCCCCUUUGGCUGAAAGCCGCGUCCUUCUGGGAACCCUUUGCAGCGUCAGUCCCUAUGGCUCACGUCUUGUCCAGCUGAUUUGGCGGUGGUUGGUGAACCUGGGCCUGGCUCUUCCUCAUACUCUGGAGGACCUCACCAAAAAUCCUCUACCAUGGCCUGCCGAGAGGUCUCAGGCUAGUGGCCACUGCAGGUCUCUGUGGUCUGACCACGUUGGCCCACCUGGUGGUUUUGGAAACAUCUGGGUCUGGCUGUGCAGGUGUGUGCCUGGGAGACCCUGGGUGAAGGCUGUCAUCAUUUCUUGCCAGGGUUGUGGUCUCCAUCUCCUGCUCUGGCCUGCUGCCCGGCUCCCUCUGCUCUAGCCUCCAUGCAAAGCCAGAGUCCUCCUAACACACAGCAUGGCUUUUGCCAAACGGUGCUGUGUCCGCACUCUGGAUCCGAACCGGCGAACCCCGGGCCGCUGAGAAGCAGAACAUGUGAAUUUAACUGCUGCGCCGCUGGGUUGGUCCCAACCUGAAACCUUUUUCUCUGGCCCUACUCGCCUCUCCAUCGUCUUCUCUCUGGUGAGGCAUUUUGAUUUUCACAUCCUGAGCUUUCUGCCUAGAACAUCCUCGUGUUAUUUCUUUGCUUAUUUAAUUCCUUUUAAUCUUUCUUAGCCUAAGGAUAAGUCCUUACAUAACUCUCUGUGUGAUUCUGGCACAUGUAAGUUUAUGGAAUGAACAAAUGCAUGAAUGAAUAAAUGACUAAAUAAGAAUACAGAAAAUGGGUUUUUAAAAAUUGCGGUAAGGGGCUGGCCCCGUGGCCGAGUGGUUAAGUUUGCGCGCUCCGCUGCAGGUGGCCCAGUGUUUCGUUGGUUCGAAUCCUGGGUGCGGACAUGGCACUGCUCAUCAAACCACGCUGAGGCAGCGUCCCACAUGCCACAACUAGAAGAACCCACAACGAAGAAUAUACAACUAUGUACCGGGAGCUUUGGGGAGAAAAAAGGAAAAAAUAAAAUCUUUAAAAAAAAAAUAAAAAAAUAAAAAAUAAAAAUUGCGGUAAAAUACACGUUACAUAAAAUUUACCAUCUUAAGCAUUUUUUUGGUGUACAGUUAAGUGGCAUUAAGUAUAUUCACAUUGUUGCACAGCCAUCACCACUGUCUCCAGAACAUUAUUCAACUUGUGAAACAAACUCUGGACCCAUUAACCACUGGCUCCCUAUUUCCCUGUCCCCCCCAGGCCCUGGCGACCACCCUUCUGAUUUCUGUCUCUCUGAAGCUCUAGAUGCUCCAUCUCAGUGGAAUCAUACAGGAUCUAUUUCGCUUACAGGGCUUAUUUCACUUAGCAUAAUGUCCUCAAGCUUCCACGUUGUUGCUUGUGUCAGAAUCUCCUCCCCUUUAUGGUUGAAGAAUGUUCUAUUAGACCACUUGUUGUUUAUCCUUUCAUACAGAGAAUGGGUUUUUGUCCAGGAGUUUAAUAUUCAGCUUUGUAUGAAAUAGCAAAAGAGGGGGCCGGCCCUGUGGCCGAGUGGUUAGGGUCGUGCGCUCCGAUUUGGCAGCCCAGGGUUUCACUGGUUUGGAUCCUGGGCAUGGACAUGGCACUGCUCAUCAAGCCGUGCUGAGGCAGCAUCCCACAUGCCACAACUGGAAGGACCCACAACUAAAAAAAAAUAUACAACCAUGGACCGGGGGGCUUUGGGGAGAAAAAGGAAAAAAAAUAAAAUCUUUAACAAAAAAAGAAGAAAUGGCAAAAGACUGGAAGCCAUCUCAAUGUCCGCGUGUAGGGGUCAGUGAUACAAAACAGGCCUAUCCUUCCAGUGGGAUCCAGUGUAGCAUCGAUCGAGUGGGGCCUCUCCAUCUGCACUGAGAUGGAACACUCACCAAAACAGAAUAUUAAGGUAUUGACAACUGUGUAGACCUGUUUUACCUUUGGUAUAUGACCAAAAAAAAAAAAAAAUCCCCAAACAACAACUAGGGGCUGGGUAUAGAGGUACAUGCUUUCCCUAGUUCCCAGAGGCUGCCCCUGGGGGAGGGAACCACAGGAUGUCGUUUUCUCUCUGUGUUCUUUUGUAUCUUUUGUACCAGGCAUUGCAUAUUUCCUAUUGAAAAAAAUGUUGGAAAGAAUGCAAAUACCCUGUCCAGAGGGAGAAGUGAUUAAUUUCCUGCAGAUCUUACACAGGGAGCGAUGCUUUGUGCUUACAAUUACUUAUUAAAUCAAGUCAGCAAGAAAGGCCUAAAUUUAAUUAAACUUGGUUGGUUAAUUCUCUUGCCGCUCAGUAAAGAUUAGCCACAGAUCUGAUUCUUUGACCACCCCGGGGAUUUUUAAUAACCGCAGCUUAUCAACAGGAUAGCGAUCAGAUAUGUGCAGUACCCAGAAAUUGACCUGAAAAAGCUCCAGCCAGGUGAACUGAAGGACAGAGCGUGGGCUUUAUCCACCGGGCCUCUCAGUCGCUGUUCAAGUGCAGGCUUUUGAGUGGCUCCUCCUUGACAGCAGUCUAAAGCAGCUGGGAAAACUGCGUUCAGAUGAAUUUGAUGACCUUGUCAGAAUAAAUGCUUAUGUCUCAGCGCAAAGAGGCCGGUGUCUCCAGAUCAGGGGUGAUGGACGGGCCUUCCCAUAGGAUGAAUGUUUGUUGAUUACUGAAGCAUCUGAGUGAGCCACGGUCGUUUGGGUUACGGUCUCUCGUCAGUGCCAGUAGCGAUGGAAGAGUAUCUGGCCAUCUUUCAGCUGCGUCUCACCCCAUUAAAAGCUGUGAGAUUAUCAGAUCCCCUCUCAGAAGACAGUAAAAUCAUGCUGGCACAUUAACACCAUGACAGACGUGCCCUGGACAUUUGUCAUCAGUGACAAAUAAUUUUUCUGUUUCAAAUAUUCCAGUUUAAUAAACAGGUAAUCAUAAUGUUCCUGACUUCUGAAGAAAUCUGCUUGGAAAUUCUACUGUGUAAUCAAUGGAGCUAGAAUGACCCUGGGGAACGGCUCAUGUUUCUGUAGCUCCUUCUUACCUCUCCUCACUCCUCAUUGUCCUCUAAACGCCCUGCUCAUCAGGCACUGAAGCUGUUCAGGAUGUGGUCCUAUCCCAUCUCUCUGUCUUCAUUUCUUCACACCCCGCACCUUUCAUAGUAGCUCCUCCAGCUUCCUAAACCAUGCUGAGCUUUCUGAGCACACUGCAGUUUCUUAUUUCUGACCUUUGUGCUGUUCUGUCUCAAAUGCUAGAAUGUUCUUCCUUGCUCUGCUUUGCCCAAGCAGCUCUUUCUCCAGAGCCCUGCUGAGGUGUGACUUCUUCCUGGGUGUUCCUUGCCAUUCUUGGUGAGGGCAAGCAUCCCUCCAAGGGCUUUCAUGGCUCCUCUCAUGGCCGUUUGGGUGCUGUGCCUCCCCCCUGCAUUGUAAUUGCUUGUUUAUAUUUGCUGGACUUUGAGCUCCUCUGGGGAGUGGAUCUCAGACUCCUCCGGGGCAUCGGCCUCACCUGGAGGGCGUGUUAAGGCUCAGCAUGCUGGGCCCAGAGUUCCUGAUUCAGUAGGUGAGGAGUGGAGCCUGAGAAGGUCAUUUCUUCAGAAGCUCCCAGUUGAUGCUGAUGAUGCUGGUCUGGGGGGCUGCGCCGCGAGGACCCCCGCUCUGGGGCAAGGACCGGGUUUGCCUUCUUCAUCUCUGUAUCCCUGGGAUCUGGGCCGUCUUGGUAGUUGAUAGUCAGGAGGUACCCGUUAGUGUUGAACGAAUGAGUGCCGUCGAAGAGGGUUAUCGUGGGUCCUGUGGACCCCAGGUGUUUCCAUAAUAUGCAGAGGGAAAUCUGAAUGCUUUCAGAAGAUUGAUGAUGAAAGUAGUGGGGGAAGAGGCAGGGCCUGGCACGCAG